UACGUAGGGGGCAAGCGUUGUCCGGAUUUAUUGGGCGUAAAGAGCGUGUAGGCGGCUUUACAGGUCCGUUGUGAAAACUCGAGGCUCAACCUCGAGACGCCGGUGGAAACCGUAAAGCUAGAGUCCGGAAGAGGAGAGUGGAAUUCCUGGUGUAGCGGUGAAAUGCGCAGAUAUCAGGAAGAACACCCGUGGCGAAGGCGGCUCUCUGGGCAUGUCCUGACGCUGAGGAGCGAAAGUGUGGGGAGCGAACAGG
RNAcentral lists this ribosomal RNA (253 nucleotides) under uncultured bacterium. RNAcentral describes it as "partial 16S ribosomal RNA". It matches the Rfam family "Bacterial small subunit ribosomal RNA", at positions 524 to 776 of the family's 1533-position model. The record is from RNAcentral.